RNAcentral lists this ribosomal RNA (422 nucleotides) under uncultured bacterium. RNAcentral's name for it is "partial 16S ribosomal RNA". It matches the Rfam family "Bacterial small subunit ribosomal RNA", at positions 360 to 774 of the family's 1533-position model. The record is from RNAcentral.
AAUAUUCCACAAUGGACGGAAGUCUGAUGGAUCAAUGCCGCGUGAACGAAGAAGGUUUUCGCAUCGUUACUUUCUGUUGCGAGGGAAGAGCAAGUACGAACGUAACUGCUUGUACCUUGACGGUACAUCAUUAGAAAGCCACGGCUAAGUACGAGCCAGCAGACGCAGUAAUAGGUAGGUGGCAAGAGUUUUCCGGAAUUAUUGGGCGUAAAGCGAGCACAGGCGGCCUUUUCAGUCUGAUGUGAAAGCCCACGGCUCAACCGUGGAAGGUCAUUGGAAACUGGAAGGCUUGAGUACAGAAGAGGAAAGCGGAAUUCCACAUGUAGCGGUGAAAUGCGUAGAGAUGUGGAGGAACACCAGUGGCGAAGGCGGCUUUCUGGUCUGUAACUGACGCUGAGGCGCGAAAGCGUGGGGAGCAAACA